GUUAGGAAUAUUGGACAAUGGGCGCAAGCCUGAUCCAGCCAUGCCGCGUGAGUGAUGAAGGCCUUCGGGUUGUAAAGCUCUUUAGUCCACGAAUAUAAUGACUGUAGUGGAAGAAUAAGCCCCGGCUAACUUCGUGCCAGCAGCCGCGGUAAUACGAAGGGGGCGAGCGUUAUUCGGAAUCACUGGGCGUAAAGCGUGCGUAGGCUGUUUUGUAAGUCAGAAGUGAAAGCCCAGGGCUUAACCCUGGAAUUGCUUUUGAAACUACAAGACUCGAAUUCGGGAGAGGAUAGCGGAAUUGUCAGUGUAGCAGUGAAAUGCGUAGAUAUUGACAGGAACACCAGUGGCGCAAGCGGCUAUCUGGACCGAUAUUGACGCUGAGGCACGAAAGCUAGGGGAGCAAAAGGGAUUAGAAACCCUUGUAGUCC
RNAcentral lists this ribosomal RNA (425 nucleotides) under uncultured bacterium. RNAcentral's name for it is "partial 16S ribosomal RNA". It matches the Rfam family "Bacterial small subunit ribosomal RNA", at positions 354 to 796 of the family's 1533-position model. The record is from RNAcentral.